UACGUAGGGUGCGAGCGUUUGUCCGGAAUUAUUGGGCGUAAAGGGCUCGUAGGCGGUUUGUCGCGUCGGGAGUGAAAUCCACUGGCUUAACUGGUGGCUUGCUUUCGAUACGGGCAGACUGGAGGUAUGCAGGGGAGAACGGAAUUCCUGGUGUAGCGGUGAAAUGCGCAGAUAUCAGGAGGAACACCAAUGGCGAAGGCAGAUCUCUGGGCCGUAACUGACGCUGAGGAGCGAAAGCAUGGGGAGCGAACAGG
Molecule: ribosomal RNA, 254 nt
Filed under: uncultured bacterium
Lineage: Bacteria
Description: partial 16S ribosomal RNA
Rfam family: Bacterial small subunit ribosomal RNA
Source: RNAcentral